UCGGUCGGUGGCCAAUGACAUUAACCGUGGUUCUCAGUCGUUCAGAUUCUGGUUGGGAGCAGCAUCGUGAUGUAAUUGUCAUAGGGGGUUUGAUUACCAACAUGACACAGAUGGGAUGGGCUUUAGAGGUGGAAAGAAAGAGAUGGGUAAAGAGGAACAGAGAGUGAGCGCGAGAGUAAAUAAGUGUGAGAAAAAGGGAGAGUGUCACGACUUCCACCGACGGUGGCUCUUCUCCCUUUCUUUUUUGUUUGCGUCUGUCUGUUUCUUACACCUGUGUUCUAUUGAGUUAAUUUGUGUGGGUUUAUUUACCUCGUUGCCUGCUGUUAUUUCUUGUGCGGGAUUAUUUCUGUGUUUGUUUGGUGCGUGUGCUAGAUUGCGCCACAGGCUAUUCCCACGGUCGUUUGUGCCUUUGUGAUUUAUUUAGGAGUAGAUUGUUUUUUUCCCUCCUGUUGUCACUUCGAAUUCCUGUUUUGUUGGGCGCCUUCGUUGGGUUUGUUUCCUGACCAGUUUUGUGUUUUGGACUUCCAAAUAAAUAUUUUACUAUUUGGAACUCAGUGCUCUCCUGCUCCUGACUCUUGCACCUACCUCGUCCUAGUGAGGCACCUUACAGAGAGAUCAACAACCGCUCCAAGCACUGCACUCUGACUGUUUAACGUUACCUGUGAAGCUCUUAGCUACCUAUAUACACAGGAACACCUUCCUAAUAUUGAGUUGCUUUUGCCCUCAGAACAGCCUCAAUUCGUCGGGUAUGGACUUACAAGAUGUCAAAAGCGUUCCACAGGGAUGCUGGCCCAUGUUGACGCCAAUGCUUCCCACAGUUGUGUCAAGUUGGCUGGAUGUCUUUUGGGUGGUGGACCGUUCUGAAUACACUGGAAACUGUUGAGCAUGAAAAACCCAGCAGCAUUGCAGUUCUUGACACAAACCGGUGCGCCUGGCACCUGCUACAUGUACCAUAUCCCAUUCAAAGGCACUUAAAUCUUUUGUCUUGCCCAUUCACCCUCUGAAUGGCGCACAUACACAAUCCAUGUUUUAGUUGUCUCAAUACUUAAAAAUCCUUCUUUAACUUGUCUCCUCCUGUUCAUCUACACUGAUUGAAGUGGAUUUAACAAGUGACAUCAAUAAGGGGGUGUGAUGUGGGUCCUGUCCUGAGCCGCAUGAGCCGCCCGUCUGUCCUGAGCCGCCCGUCUGUCCUGAGCCGCCUGAGCCGCCCGUCGGUCAUGGGGCCGCCUGAGCCGCCCGUCGGUCAUGGGGCCGCCUGAGCCGCCCGUCGGUCAUGGGGCCGCCUGAGCCGCCCGUCGGUCAUGGGGCCGCCUGAGCCGCUCGUCGGUCAGGAGCCGCCUGAGCCGCCCUCCUGUCCGGAUCUGCCAGAGUCUCCCUCCAGUCCGGAUCUGCCAGAGUCUCCCUCCAGUCCGGAUCUGCCAGAGUCUCCCUCCAGUCCGGAUCUGCCAGAGUCUCCCUCUAGUCCGGAUCUGCCAGAGUCUCCCUCUAGUCCGGAUCUGCCCUCCAGUCCGGAGCUGUCCCUCAGUUCGGAGCUGCCCCUCAGUCCAGAGGCGCCCCUCAGUCCAGAGGCGCCCCUCAGUCCAGAGGCGCCCCUCAGUCCAGUGGUGCCCUUUAUUAGGGUCCCCAGUCCAAGGUCGGCGGUGAGGGUCGCCGCUCCAAAGACGCCACUUAAGCGGGCUAAGACAAUGGUGGAGUGGGGUACACGUCCCGUGCCAGAGCCGCCACCGCGGACAGAUGCCCACCCAGACCCUCCCCUAUAGGUUCAGGUUUUGCGGCCGGAGUCCGCACCUUUGGUUGGGGGGGGGGGGGGUACUGUCACGCCCUGACUAUAGAUUGCUUUGUAUGUUUCUAUGUUUUGUUUGGUCAGGGUGUGAUGUGGGUGGGCAUUCUAUGUUGUAUGUCUAGGUUGUCUUUUUUCUAUGUGUUUGGCCUAGUAUGGUUCUCAAUCAGGAGGCAGGUGUCAGUCAUUGUCUCUGAUAGGAAGCCAUAUUUAGGUAGCCUGUUUUCCUUUGGGUUUUGGUGGGUAGUUAUUUUCUGUAUCCUGUGUUAGGGUUUUCACCAUACGGGACUGUUUCGGGUUGUUUGUUUUGUAUUUUUGUUAUUUCGUUCAGUGUUCUGUUUGAUUAAAUUAUCAUUAUGGACACUUA
This is a long non-coding RNA of Salvelinus fontinalis (brook trout), 2147 nucleotides long. RefSeq lists it as uncharacterized. The record is from RefSeq and is a predicted model, not a curated record. The transcript has 2 exons. NCBI's taxonomy places the organism in Eukaryota, Metazoa, Chordata, Actinopteri, Salmoniformes, Salmonidae.